CAGCGAGAAAGCGUUGCCGCAGGCAACGACCCGAAGGGUGAAGCGCGCAGCGCUGAGUAAUCCUUCCCCCACCACCA
Molecule: small RNA, 77 nt
Filed under: Escherichia coli
Lineage: Bacteria; Pseudomonadati; Pseudomonadota; Gammaproteobacteria; Enterobacterales; Enterobacteriaceae
Also listed under: 1 other name
Description: partial RtT sRNA
Rfam family: RtT RNA
About the family: This family represents a bacterial cis-regulatory element known as RtT RNA.
Source: RNAcentral